RNAcentral lists this ribosomal RNA (253 nucleotides) under uncultured bacterium. RNAcentral describes it as "partial 16S ribosomal RNA". It matches the Rfam family "Bacterial small subunit ribosomal RNA", at positions 524 to 776 of the family's 1533-position model. The record is from RNAcentral.
UACAGAGGGGGCAAGCGUUGUUCGGAAUUACUGGGCGUAAAGGGCGCGUAGGUGGCCUUCUAAGUCGAACGUGAAAUCCCCGGGCUCAACCCGGGAACUGCGUCCGAUACUGGAAGGCUUGAAUCCGGGAGAGGGAUGCGGAAUUCCAGGUGUAGCGGUGAAAUGCGUAGAUAUCUGGAGGAACACCGGCGGCGAAGGCGACAUCCUGGACCGGUAUUGACGCUGAGGCGCGAAAGCCAGGGGAGCAAACGGG